AUUGAACGCUGGCGGCAGGCCUAACACAUGCAAGUCGAGCGGCUGAAGGGAGCUUGCUCCUGGAUUCAGCGGCGGACGGGCGAGUAAUGCCUAGGAAUCUGCCUGGUAGUGGGGGAUAACGUCCGGAAACGGGCGCUAAUACCGCAUAAGUCCUGAGGGAGAAAGUGGGGGAUCUUCGGAUCUCACGCUAUCAGAUGAGCCUAGGUCGGAUUAGCUAGUUGGUGGGGUAAAGGCCUACCAAGGCGACGAUCCGUAGCUGGUCUGAGAGGAUGAUCAGCCACACUGGAACUGAGACACGGUCCAGACUCCUACGGGAGGCAGCAGUGGGGAAUAUUGGACAAUGGGCGAAAGCCUGAUCCAGCCAUGCCGCGUGUGUGAAGAAGGUCUUCGGAUUGUAAAGCACUUUAAGUUGGGAAGAAGAGCAGUAAGUUAAUACCUUGCUGUUUUGACGGUACCAACAGAAUAAGCACCGGCUAACUUCGUG
Molecule: ribosomal RNA, 484 nt
Filed under: uncultured bacterium
Lineage: Bacteria
Description: partial 16S ribosomal RNA
Rfam family: Bacterial small subunit ribosomal RNA
Source: RNAcentral